Molecule: ribosomal RNA, 198 nt
Filed under: uncultured bacterium
Lineage: Bacteria
Description: partial 16S ribosomal RNA
Rfam family: Bacterial small subunit ribosomal RNA
Source: RNAcentral
ACGCUCGACACCUACGGGAAGCAGCAGUGGGGAAUAUUGCACAAUGGGGGAAACCCUGAUGCAGCGACGCCGCGUGAGUGAAGAAGUAUUUCGGUAUGUAAAGCUCUAUCAGCAGGGAAGAAAAUGACGGUACCUGACUAAGAAGCCCCGGCUAACUACGUGCCAGCAGCUGCGGUAAUCUGAGCGGGCUGGCAAGGC